Molecule: long non-coding RNA, 622 nt
Organism: Mauremys mutica (yellowpond turtle)
Lineage: Eukaryota; Metazoa; Chordata; Testudines; Geoemydidae
Exons: 3
Source: RefSeq, a predicted model, not a curated record
UCUGCUAUGAUGGCUCCUAGCUCACUGACCCUUCUGCCAAAGUGAUAGCCACCAGCAAUGCAACCUUCAUGGACAGGGCUGCAAGAAGCUGUCUGAGAAACUGUUGGCAACCAGACCUCCUGGUGGGAGCAGCCUACCAAGAGCCAGCCAGCCAGGGUCCUCAUGAGAAGGCUUGCCUGACCUUGAUGGGCUCGAACAAGGAGCACAUCUCUUAAAGACAGUCCUCAACUUCCACCCACGAAGGUGCUCUCUACUUUCCUGGGAAGCCUUGAGUGAAGAGACCUUGGGCUUAGGCACUGUUGGCUCCACUCCUAAGCAUGUGUAUGAAGUGGCACUGCUCGUCAGGUGAGGCUGAUGUACAGGGGGUUCUCCCAGGCCAAGAUUAGACAGGGUUCUCCAUUAGGAAUUUCCUCAAGUGAAGCUCACAAACUUCUUGAGUUCUACAUGGGAAUGAAUGGCAAUACCGUUCUUCACAGAGAUAUGCAUCUCACCCAGACAGUAGAGGCAACAGUGAUGUUCAUUGCUCAUGGAGAAGAAGAAAAAGAACCAUCAGAGCAAAAAAGGAACAAAUGAUGAGCAAAGGAAACUAAGCUCAUGGAAUUAGAUGGAUUCAUGACUAUGA